CCCAAAUCAAUCCCAACCUCUAAACUUAUCGCCAAAAGAGACACACACACACAAAAACAAAAUGAAGGCACCUUCACAACAAGACAUGACUUACUAUGGCAAUGUCAAGAAACGGCAAGACGAACAAGGCUGCUUAUACGCAACGUUUUACGCCUUGUUCUGUUGCUGUUGCUGCUACGAGACAUGCAAGUGUUGUUGCUGUGUUUGAUUUAUAUGGAUGUAUCAUCUCAAAAAGAAAAAAAUCCUAUGUAUCAUCUCAUUAGCUCUUUUAUUAAUGAACUACGUCGAAGGUUUAAACUUUAAACCAUGAUGAAUAAAUCUUUGGUCACCACUGGACCAAGGGGACAAUUUUAUGUAGUUUCAGUUAUAUAAACUUAACUAAAAGUUGAUAAA
Molecule: long non-coding RNA, 393 nt
Organism: Camelina sativa (false flax)
Lineage: Eukaryota; Viridiplantae; Streptophyta; Magnoliopsida; Brassicales; Brassicaceae
Source: RefSeq, a predicted model, not a curated record